AAGACAAGUCCCCAAAAAGCCUACACUGCUUCAAGUCAGCUAAUGGCUUUAUAUCUUAAACCAAAUCAAACGACGGAUGCUUAACAUCAUUAACCCUAUAAAAUAAUCAAUCCUUGUUUGCUAAUUGUCGAGAGAGAUGAAAAUUUCUGGAAAAAAAUAACUAGCUCACCUAGGCUCUUUCAAAGAAAUAGCUAACUAAGCAUCUCAUGGCAAAGGUUGUAGAGGAUCAUGUAAAGCAACGAAUCACAUUUCCUUGUUUUUAAUUCAACACAAGAUGAAGUACUUAAUUUCAGCACCACACCUGAAUAAUAUCACAAAGAGAAUAUGAAAACUUUCUGAAUUCCUUCUUCGCAUUUGCACUGUUCACUGUAAUAAAUGUAAACGUAAUUACAGAAUAAAAUUAUACAGAAAUUAGAGAUGUCAUGUACUCGGCAAUGGAGGUCUUGUGGAAGACACAACCCUUCCCGGCACGGGUGCCAUAAAGAAUCUUCUAUUCUACCAUCUACAGAUCCUAUAGUACAUUUCAUCCUUCUGAUGCAUCUACAUUCUGCAGCAUUCCCUCGGAAAGUGAAUCAUGAUACAUGGAUCUGCUAGCGCUUUCAGAGUAACCUCGACUCUUCAAUUUAACACCAACAGCCUGCAAACAUCAUGAAACUUAGCAAGAUACCAGUGGCCAAACAGAUACUUGAUAUUUUCAGCAUGUACUCAAACAGAGAUGGAAACUAAAUAACAGUCAGAUAAACCAACAAACGAAAAAAUAUAGAAUGCAACAGAUUAUAACUAGCUCAUUUGGGUGAACUAAGUUGAGCUACUAUUGAAUGUUACAAGCAACCAGCCCAAAAAAGAAUGAACAAUACACUUUUCAUUCACAAUUAAGUAUAAAACAUUCUGUUUGGUCAAUAUAAAAAGGAAUUUUUUGGCAAUGAAUACAAGUGAUAAUAGGGCAUUGUAGAGCUGGAUGCAAGUCACAAGAGUCAUUGUGGAUAAAUUUGUAGGAGAAAUUUUGAAAACCCCAAGCCGUAAAACAAUUCAAGGGGCCAACCAUUCUCGAAAUUUUCAUAUAUGCAUUGAGUAGAGACCUCUAUAUGACCAUAGUGAUGGAAAGAGGAAAAGAACAAUCAAUACUGACCAACAAGCAUCGACCACAGUACAACUCAUGCAUACAGAAGUAAGCGGAUCCAUCAUUGUUUUUUGAUGAAAAAGUGGUCUGAUCCAAAUAAAAUUAAAGUGCAUUUAAAUUUCAGAAAAGAAUAUAGAAAAUUUCACUUUAGACAAAGCAUUUGCACAAUUUUGGUUAAGCAGCAUAGUAGUUCUUGAUCAUCUUAUGAACUUAAAUAUUAAUUGUAUUAAACUGGUAAUUGCCAGACAGAGAAACAUAUUUUAUUGCCCAAAAAGAAAAACAUAUUUUAUAGACAGAACCAUAGUCUUUAACUAAGUCCUUUCACCCGUAAAAAUGCUCUUCCAAUUUUCAAGAUCCUAUUUCCCCUUAUAAUGUUUUCCCGGAAUACAAUCACAUUUCGGUUUAAGCCCCCAAGGCCUAGCUCAAGUGGCAAAGCGUGGUGGAAUUGUCUCUUAGGUCGCAGGUUCAAGCCCCCAUACCAUGCAAGGCAAAGCAUGGUAUUUAAGUGGAAAAGGGUAGAGGGGCAAGCCCAUCAUCCAACGAGUUUAGAAGGCUACAGUUGGUCCAAAGGAUCGGACCAAGACAUAUUUCUCGGUCAUCAAAAAAAAUCACAUUUCAGUUUAACUUUUAAUCAACCCAAUCAGCUCGAUUGUCUGCUACAAACACCCAGGUAGAUUUAAAAUAUGCUCACAGUUCCUGACAUAAUGAUAUAUAUGUAGGAGUAUUUUCCAAACUCCUCUAUCAUAAAAAGAUUUGAAAGGAGCCUGACAAACUUCAAAAUUUAAUGUAAGCAUUGAUGAGUAUCCUCUUCCAUCCAUACAUACAGGAAGGAGAGAAAUAAGCAAUGCUAGAAUCAUACCAUUUCAUAUUAACACUGCUGACAAACAGCUUCAACUCAAAAAUGAAAUGCAGUGGAGUAAGUAGAUUGCUAACUUUACGGCAUUUACUUAAGCUCGUUAAAAUAAAGGAAUUGUGGCCAUAAAUCACAAGUUGACAACAGGGCAAUUGGGAUCUGGAUGCAAGUUAUAGUGUCAUAAUUGAUGGUUUGUAGGAGUAAUUUCGAAAACCCCAACGGCAUAAACAAAUUCGAGGGGCCAACCAUUCUCCAAACGUUGAUAUAAGCAUUAAUUAGAGACCUCUCUAUACCCAUAGAAACGGAGAAGAGGAAUAGAACAAUCAAUGCUAACACAAGCCAUGUUAUGCAUACAUGACGAGCAAAAUCACAGUAAGGAUAUACUAGGUUACCAGUUCUGUCGGAAACAUGAUGGCGCAAUAUCCUUCGAUCCCGUGAGCUUCGUUGUAAACCAAACACAUUAUACAGAGACUCAAAGCUCCUCUAUAUCCCGCGCUAAACCACUAAGUUGGAUUUAGUAUUAAAGGAUUCAUCAUUUAGUAUUUAGACACCGAUGAAUCCUCUAAAUAUUGAAUCCACAUAGAAAAAGAUCUUUAAAUGUAGGUUCAAUUAAGAAAGAGAUGAAGGAGUUUUCGCUCCUUACUCGUAACGGCUGCCAUUGUCGAAAAGGUAAGGAUGCUCCGCCAGAGCUGUAAUACAGCUUAUUGAUGUACAUACAGCUGACUAGGGUUUUAGGGGCAGAGCCGCCACUGAUUAGGGCUUUGCACAUGCAGUGUAGUAGUGAUGCUUCUAUUUAUAGGAGUAGAAAAGGAGGAGGAGCUCCUAUUUUUACCAAAC
RNAcentral lists this long non-coding RNA (2810 nucleotides) under Nicotiana benthamiana. RNAcentral describes it as "long non-coding RNA (NBEN_LNC025132)". The record is from RNAcentral. Lineage: Eukaryota; Viridiplantae; Streptophyta; Magnoliopsida; Solanales; Solanaceae.